Long non-coding RNA from Schistocerca gregaria, 559 nucleotides. RefSeq lists it as uncharacterized. The transcript has 3 exons. The record is from RefSeq and is a predicted model, not a curated record. NCBI's taxonomy places the organism in Eukaryota, Metazoa, Arthropoda, Insecta, Orthoptera, Acrididae.
ACCAUGUAGUCGUCAUUCGUUUGUUUCUACGGUUUAGUUUUUACCACAGAACUGAAUGUAACUCCAGAAUUGGUGACCAUGAAUAUAAGUUUAGAAGGACAAGGUUUUAAGAUGAAGUUUGGUUGGAAUGCAGAGCUUGCAGCAGUUGGUACGACCUUGAUGACACAAUUCUGGGAGCGACCCUAGUGAAACAUACAACACUGAACAGGCUAGGUGUGAGAUGGUUCAAACAAGUAUGCUCCUGAUCAACUCUGAAUGAGAAUGUGGUUAAACAUUCAUGAAGGGAAUCCAAACAAUCAUGUGCAGAACUUAAGAUAAAAGAACAGUUUAAUAUUGGAAAAUAUUUUCUUGAGCAGUGUAUUAUUUUCAUUAAUUACUGUAAGCACAUUCCUCUAAUUUUAAUUACUUUGCUAUUGAUCCUAUCAUUUAUGUUGACCUUUUACUUAUCAGAAAUUUUGUUUGUCUCUCUUUUUUUUUAAAUUAGUUGUGUGCAGAGUUCGUGCUGUAUUGUCACUAAUACUUGAUCCAGAAUAAAUAAUGCCAAAUGUUAUCCAUUAAA